Molecule: unclassified non-coding RNA, 253 nt
Filed under: uncultured Verrucomicrobiota bacterium
Lineage: Bacteria; Pseudomonadati; Verrucomicrobiota
Description: uncultured Verrucomicrobia bacterium contains 16S-23S intergenic spacer region
Rfam family: Bacterial small subunit ribosomal RNA
Source: RNAcentral
UACAGAGGUCUCAAGCGUUGUUCGGAUUCAUUGGGCGUAAAGGGUGCGUAGGCGGCGAAGCAAGUCUGGUGUGAAAUCCCGGGGCUCAACUCCGGAACUGCACUGGAUACUGCUUUGCUAGAGCACUGGAGAGGGAACUGGAAUUUACGGUGUAGCAGUGAAAUGCGUAGAUAUCGUAAGGAAGACCAGCGGCGAAGGCGAGUUCCUGGACAGUUGCUGACGCUGAGGCACGAAGGCCAGGGGAGCAAACGGG